RNAcentral lists this long non-coding RNA (1132 nucleotides) under Canis lupus familiaris (dog). Its description in RNAcentral is "lncRNA (ENSCAFG00000057501.1, ENSCAFG00845008167.1)". The record is from RNAcentral. Lineage: Eukaryota; Metazoa; Chordata; Mammalia; Carnivora; Canidae.
CCAAUGCUCUCCCAAAUGCACACAUGCACACACACCCAGUACAUUCCUACUGGGGGCCCCUGGUAAUUGGGGAAGUGGGGCUGGCUGACCCAGCCCAUGUCUUAUGCUGAUUGACAGCUUGGAAGUAAGCCCUGAACACCCAGGGAAGCUGGCCCAAGAAGAUCUGGUCUCCAUCAGGUGGCAUCCAUGUCUUCUCAGCCAUCUGCCAUGAACUGUCCAGCUGUGCUUGCCCUAAGCCAGAACCAGUUCUCUCAGACUUCUGGGACUCUCAAAAACAAGAGCUCUCUCCUAGGUUCUUAGGACAACAUUGGGAUGCUGUUAGGGAAGAAAAAACUGGCAAGCAAGGAAUGCAGCACAUGGCCAGCCGUCUUCACGAUUCAGAGGCUGUCAGGACUCCAAGCCACCCCGGCCUCCCUGCCUCUGGCCUCCUUCACAGCGCAGUGGCCAGCAGUGACAACUGGGAUCGCAGCAGCCCGUGUACUGGCCCCGCAGCAGAGCCCCUCCAGGCCUCGGCUUCCCACCAAGGAGGGUUCAGAUUUCUCCAUUUUAUUCUUCAGAAGAUCAGCUGCCCACAUCGCGGAAAUUUUGAUACCAUUUCCAGCAGCUUCCUGUUCAUCUCAUCCCUAAGAAGGAAUAAAGACUCCCCCAGAGGGCUGCACUGUUCUUCCCUAUUAUGGAGAUGCGGCUUGGCAGAGGAGCACCGUUCCCAAUAAACAGAGGGCCAUCGCUUUUGUGGACACAGCGGACUCUCUCUUUGAUGAGAAGGGAACUCUGCAGGCUGAUGUCACUGAUGGAAGGAGAGGCAGGGUGCGCAUCACAGGAGACGUGUCGUCACACACACUGGGUUCCGACUCUUGGCAGCUCACCUACUGGCCGUGUUCCCCCAGGACAGCCAUGGAGCCUCCGUGAGACUCAGUUGCUUCGUUGGGAAAAUCGAACUAAGAACACUGCAGAAGGCAAGGGCGAGUGGAAUGUGGCGGCAUCACCAGCCACACCCCAUGGGCUUCAGAGCAACAGACUCCACCCCCCGGGUCCCACUCCAGACUGGACCAUGACUGAGGCCCCAAAACCCAUAAAAAAUUCUAUACUCCCACCAAGUCAGCAGGAGAGGCAGCUACGUGAUUUCGUCUGA